UCUGGUUCAGGGUUGUU
This 17-nucleotide ribosomal RNA is filed under the name Metastrongylus apri. Its description in RNAcentral is "partial 5.8S ribosomal RNA". The record is from RNAcentral. Lineage: Eukaryota; Metazoa; Nematoda; Chromadorea; Rhabditida; Metastrongylidae.